This 465-nucleotide ribosomal RNA is filed under the name uncultured bacterium. RNAcentral describes it as "partial 16S ribosomal RNA". It matches the Rfam family "Bacterial small subunit ribosomal RNA", at positions 28 to 507 of the family's 1533-position model. The record is from RNAcentral.
GACGAACGCUGGCGGCGUGCUUAACACAUGCCAGUCGAACGGAAAGGCCCUGCUUGCAGGGUACUCGAGUGGCGAACGGGUGAGUAACACGUGGGUGAUCUGCCCUGCACUUCGGGAUAAGCCUGGGAAACUGGGUCUAAUACCGGAUAGGAGCCAUUUUUAGUGUGAUGGUUGGAAAGUUUUUUCGGUGUAGGAUGAGCUCGCGGCCUAUCAGCUUGUUGGUGGGGUAAUGGCCUACCAAGGCGGCGACGGGUAGCCGGCCUGAGAGGGUGGACGGCCACAUUGGGACUGAGAUACGGCCCAGACUCCUACGGGAGGCAGCAGUGGGGAAUAUUGCACAAUGGGCGCAAGCCUGAUGCAGCGACGCCGCGGGGGGGAGGACGGCCUUCGGGUUGUAAACUCCUUUCGCUAGGGACGAAGCUUUUUGUGACGGUACCUAGAUAAGAAGCACCGGCUAACUACGUG